GACGAACGCUGGCGGCGUGCCUAAUACAUGCAAGUUGAGCGAUGAAGCUUGGUGCUUGCACCAAUUUGAAGAGCAGCGAACGGGUGAGUAACGCGUGGGGAAUCUGCCUUUGAGCGGGGGACAACAUUUGGAAACGAAUGCUAAUACCGCAUAACAACUUUAACCAUAAGUUUUAAGUUUGAAAGAUGCAAUUGCAUCACUCAAAGAUGAUCCCGCGUUGUAUUAGCUAGUUGGUGAGGUAAAGGCUCACCAAGGCGAUGAUACAUAGCCGACCUGAGAGGGUGAUCGGCCAAAUUGGGACUGGGACACGGCCCAAACUCCUACGGGAGGGAGCAGUAGGGAAACUUCGGCAAUGGACGAAAGUCUGACCGAGCAACGCCGCGUGAGUGAAGAAGGUUGUCGGAUCGUAAAACUCUGUUGGUAGGGAAGAACGUUGGUGAGAGUGGAAAGCUCAUCAAGUGACGGUAACUACCCAGAAAGGGACGGCUAACUACGUG
This 497-nucleotide ribosomal RNA is filed under the name uncultured bacterium. RNAcentral's name for it is "partial 16S ribosomal RNA". It matches the Rfam family "Bacterial small subunit ribosomal RNA", at positions 28 to 507 of the family's 1533-position model. The record is from RNAcentral.